GAUGAACGCUAGCGGCAGGCCUAAUACAUGCAAGUCGAACGGAUAUAUGUUUUUCGGAAUAUAUAUUAGUGGCGCACGGGUGAGUAACACGUACAUAACUUGCCCUCAAGCGGGGGAUAGCCUUGGGAAACUGAGAGUAAUACCCCAUAGAAUUAUUGGACGGCAUCGUUUGAUAAUUAAAACUACGGUGCUUGGGGAUAGAUGUGCGUCUGAUUAGCUAGUUGGUGAGGUAACUGCUCACCAAGGCGACGAUCAGUAGGGGGCGUGAGAGCGUGGCCCCCCACACGGGUACUGAGACACGGACCCGACUCCUACGGGAGGCAGCAGUAAGGAAUAUUGGUCAAUGGAGGGAACUCUGAACCAGCCAUGCCGCGUGAAGGAUGACGGCCCUCUGGGUUGUAAACUUCUUUUGGAUGGGGCGAAAAAACGGGNUUUAUCCUGGACUGACGGUACCAUCAGAAUAAGCACCGGCUAACUCCGUGCCAGCAGCCGCGGUAAAGUAGUCG
RNAcentral lists this ribosomal RNA (506 nucleotides) under uncultured bacterium. Its description in RNAcentral is "bacterial SSU rRNA". It matches the Rfam family "Bacterial small subunit ribosomal RNA", at positions 28 to 531 of the family's 1533-position model. The record is from RNAcentral.